RNAcentral lists this unclassified non-coding RNA (337 nucleotides) under soil metagenome. RNAcentral describes it as "partial contains 5.8S ribosomal RNA, internal transcribed spacer 2, and large subunit ribosomal RNA". The stretch from base 1 to 120 matches the Rfam family "5.8S ribosomal RNA", at positions 35 to 154 of the family's 154-position model. The record is from RNAcentral.
GAUGAAGAACGUAGCGAAAUGCGAUAAGUAGUGUGAAUUGCAGAAUUCAGUGAAUCAUCGAAUCUUUGAACGCACAUUGCGCCCCUUGGUAUUCCAUGUGGCAUGCCUGUUCGAGCGUCAUUUGUACCUUCAAGCUCUGCUUGGUGUUGGGUGUUUGUCUCGCCUCUGCGUGUAGACUCGCCUCAAAACAAUUGGCAGCCGGCGUAUUGAUUUCGGAGCGCAGUACAUCUCGCGCUUUGCACUCAUAACGACGACGUCCAAAAGUACAUUUUUACACUCUUGACCUCGGAUCAGGUAGGGAUACCCGCUGAACUUAAGCAUAUCAAUAAGCGGAGGA